AUUGAACGCUGGCGGCAGGCCUAACACAUGCAAGUCGAGCGGAUGAAGGGAGCUUGCUCCUGGAUUCAGCGGCGGACGGGUGAGUAAUGCCUAGGAAUCUGCCUGGUAGUGGGGGAUAACGUCCGGAAACGGGCGCUAAUACCGCAUACGUCCUGAGGGAGAAAGUGGGGGAUCUUCGGACCUCACGCUAUCAGAUGAGCCUAGGUCGGAUUAGCUAGUUGGUGGGGUAAAGGCCUACCAAGGCGACGAUCCGUAACUGGUCUGAGAGGAUGAUCAGUCACACUGGACUUGAGACAAGGUACAGACUACACUGGGACGCAGGACAGGGGAGUGUUGGACUAUGGGAGAAGGGUUGGCCCGAACCUGCCAAGUGUGUGACGAAGGUCUUCGGAUUGGAAAGCUAUUCAAGUUGGGAGGAAGGGCAGUAAGUUAAUCGCUUGGUGUUUUGCCGUUACCAAAAGAAUAAGCACCGGCUAACUUCGUG
RNAcentral lists this ribosomal RNA (484 nucleotides) under uncultured bacterium. Its description in RNAcentral is "partial 16S ribosomal RNA". It matches the Rfam family "Bacterial small subunit ribosomal RNA", at positions 30 to 507 of the family's 1533-position model. The record is from RNAcentral.